UUUCCGUAGGUGAACCUGCGGAAGGAUCAUUAACGAGUUAGGGUCUCUCUGGCCCGACCUCCCAACCCUUUGUCUACUUGACCAUCGUUGCUCCGGCGAGCCCGUCCUCACGGACCGCCGGAGGGAUCUUUACUGGCCCUCUGGUCCGCGCUCGUCGGUAGCCCAACCUUUAAAAUCUUUAACUAAACGUGCCUUAAUCUAAGUACAAUUAUUAAAUAAAAGCAAAACUUUCAACAACGGAUCUCUUGGUUCUG
This 254-nucleotide unclassified non-coding RNA is filed under the name plant metagenome. RNAcentral's name for it is "partial contains small subunit ribosomal RNA, internal transcribed spacer 1, and 5.8S ribosomal RNA". The record is from RNAcentral.